CGAGAUUUUGGUAGCAGGCGCAAGAACAGUAAAGCUGAAGGAGUGCAAGCUGCACAAGUUUGUAUGAUUGCUUGUGGACUUUAUGAGCAGAUCAAAUUUUCAUCUUGAAUCUCAAAGACUCAUUACAGAGAAAAGGACUUUCAAGAGAUCUUUCUACUUACAUUAGUCCAUAGCAAGAAAAAGUAGCAAGGUAAGACAGACCUCCUCUUGUUCUUCAUAUUGCUUUUUUUUUGACAGAGUGAGGGAUCCAGCUUUCACCUUUAGGGAGAAAGAUAUUUUUAAGUUCCUACUUA
Macadamia integrifolia is the source of this 293-nucleotide long non-coding RNA. RefSeq lists it as uncharacterized. The record is from RefSeq and is a predicted model, not a curated record. The transcript is spliced from 2 exons. Lineage: Eukaryota; Viridiplantae; Streptophyta; Magnoliopsida; Proteales; Proteaceae.